Molecule: ribosomal RNA, 887 nt
Filed under: uncultured bacterium
Lineage: Bacteria
Description: bacterial SSU rRNA
Rfam family: Bacterial small subunit ribosomal RNA
Source: RNAcentral
AGAGUUUGAUCAUGGCUCAGGACGAACGCUGGCGGCGUGCCUAAUACAUGCUAAGUCGAGCGAGCUUGCCUAGAUGAUUUUAGUGCUUGCACUAAAUGAAACUAGAUACAAGCGAGCGGCGGACGGGUGAGUAACACGUGGGUAACCCGCCCAAGAGACUGGGAUAACACCUGGAAACAGAUGCUAAUACCGGAUAACAACACUAGACGCAUGUCUAGAGUUUGAAAGAUGGUUCUGCUAUCACUCUUGGAUGGACCUGCGGUGCAUUAGCUAGUUGGUAAGGUAACGGCCUACCAAGGCAAUGAUGCAUAGCCGAGUUGAGAGACUGAUCGGCCACAUUGGGACUGAGACACGGCCCAAACUCCUACGGGAGGCAGCAGUAGGGAAUCUUCCACAAUGGACGAAAGUCUGAUGGAGCAACGCCGCGUGAGUGAAGAAGGGUUUCGGCUCGUAAAGCUCUGUUGGUAGUGAAGAAAGAUAGAGGUAGUAACUGGCCUUUAUUUGACGGUAAUUACUUAGAAAGUCACGGCUAACUACGUGCCAGCAGCCGCGGUAAUACGUAGGUGGCAAGCGUUGUCCGGAUUUAUUGGGCGUAAAGCGAGUGCAGGCGGUUCAAUAAGUCUGAUGUGAAAGCCUUCGGCUCAACCGGAGAAUUGCAUCAGAAACUGUUGAACUUGAGUGCAGAAGAGGAGAGUGGAACUCCAUGUGUAGCGGUGGAAUGCGUAGAUAUAUGGAAGAACACCAGUGGCGAAGGCGGCUCUCUGGUCUGCAACUGACGCUGAGGCUCGAAAGCAUGGGUAGCGAACAGGAUUAGAUACCCUGGUAGUCCAUGCCGUAAACGAUGAGUGCUAAGUGUUGGGGGGUUUCCGCCUCUCAGUGCUGCAGCU